UUUUGAGCAAUGAGAUUUACAUAUAUAUAAAAAUACCACGUUUAUUUAUUACAAAUGUGGAACCAGAAAUACAUUAUCUUUAACAACAAGGUGCAGUUUGAUUAGCUAAGGAAACAGAUACAUGAAGUUGUUAUUUUAGGCAAAGUGAAAGCCAUGACAGAAAGUACAAUACAGUUAUACAAAACACAAACAUUAAGCACAACAUAAAUCUAGAACAACUUAAGCAAAUGUUACCAUUGAAGGUACUUAUUUCAAACAUAAGACAUAAUCCAGCAAAUUUUUAUAAACACUGCACAAUCACUGAAUUUGUUCAUUUAGAACCUUGUUGCUGUUACUGCAGAACAACACAUUCUUGUGAACCAGCCACCACAGUAGGGUAUGUGCUCGAGUUGACAGCGUCGUCUUUGGGAAGAGAUUGAAGAUUGUCAUCCAAUUCUUCAGUUAAAGCAAUGGCUUCAAAGAUAAGAGCAUUGACUUCUUGAAACCUUU
Molecule: long non-coding RNA, 489 nt
Filed under: Trifolium pratense (red clover)
Lineage: Eukaryota; Viridiplantae; Streptophyta; Magnoliopsida; Fabales; Fabaceae
Description: long non-coding RNA (TPRA_LNC001795)
Source: RNAcentral